AUGAACCCUUCUCAGUUCUCAUCAUCUUCUAUUUCAUCAAACGAUACUGAUGGUUACUUUCAUCAAGUCAUGGCAGCAUAUGAUGAAGAGCAAGAUUUACUACUUCGCAUGUACACGAAUAAUAACCUUCUCGUGGCGGAGAUUCUUGAUGAUGAAGAUGAUGAUGCUCAAUCAAAAUAUCGUGGUGCAAUUCCAGGCCAUGUAAUGGUCAAUCGACCCCGAGAAGAAGCUGCAUACAAUUUAUGGAGGGAUUAUUUUGCUGAGCGCCCAGUUCAUGAUGAUGAAAUAUUUCGAAGACGCUUCCGAAUGAGUAAAACUUUAUUUCAUCGAAUUGCGGAUGCUAUCAAAGAUCAUGACACGUUCUUUGUACAACAAUGCGAUGGGGUCGGAAAGCUCGGUUUGUCAUCCUUACAAAAGAUCACGGCCGUUUUUCAAAUGCUUGCGUAUGGUGUACCUGCUGACGCUCUUGACGACUAUUUGAAAAUUGGUGAGUCUAUUGCUAUUAGAUGUAUGAAAAAAUUUUGCCGAGCAAUUAUAGAGGUAUUUGGACCAUAAUAUCUAAGGAGACCUAACUCUGAUGAUAUAGCAAGGCUUCUUUAUAUAGGCGAAGAACGUGGUUUUCCAGGAAUGUUGGGGAAUCUUGUUGAAGGUAAAUCUCCUCCGGUUAAUUAUACAAUUAUGGGAAAGGAUUAUAAUGUUGGUUAUUAUCUAGCCGACGGUAUAUAUCCUAAAUGGUCCACACUUGUCCAAACUAUACAUGAUCCACAAGGUCAGAAGAAAACUUUGUUCGCCACAAAGCAAGAAUCAUAUAGGAAGGACGCGGAGCGUGCAUUUGGAGUUCUUCGAUCACGUUAGGCAAUUAUUAAAGGACCAGCACGAUUUUGGGAUAAACGUGUCUUACAUGAUAUAAUGACUACAUGCAUCAUAAUGCACAACAUAAUUAUUAAGGAUGAGCGAGAUUUAUCGGCUCCGAUUAAAGAAUUUAAUGAAGCACCUGCCCCUACUGUUGAGAUGGUGGUUGAUGAAACAACAAGAUUUAACCAAUUUCUUGAUCGUCAUAGAAAAAUUAAAGAUAAGAAAGCUCAUUAUGAACUUCGAGAUGCUUAUGCAGCUGUCAAGUUUGCGGAUGCAUGCCUUCGCGGCCUGAGAGGAGAUGCUGGUGUUGUGGAAUGCUCUUUUGUUGCAUCUCAGGUUACAGAACUUCCUUUCUUUGCAACCAAGGUACGGCUUGGCCGCAAUGGUGCAGAGGAAGUCUACCAACUUGGGCCCCUGAACGAGUAUGAGAGGAUCGGUUUAGAGAAGGCAAAAAGAGAGUUGGCAGGAAGCAUCGAAAAGGGUGUUUCAUUCAUCAGGAAGUAAAUUUUAGUCACUUACAAGGGAUCUGAUAGUUGCUGUUGUUUCUCUGAAUGUACUUGGAGGACAUGAAUAAACCAGGUAGUAUUAUACCGUCACAUAUUUAACCUUGCAAGUUCAAACAUACGAAGCUUAAUGUAAAGUAUAUAUAAGAAAACAUGUCUUCAUUUC
Fragaria vesca subsp. vesca is the source of this 1524-nucleotide RNA transcript. RefSeq lists it as uncharacterized. The record is from RefSeq and is a predicted model, not a curated record. NCBI's taxonomy places the organism in Eukaryota, Viridiplantae, Streptophyta, Magnoliopsida, Rosales, Rosaceae. The transcript has 5 exons.